AUUCUAAAGCAGUCCAGGUUCUGAGAUGCCAGGGGCUCCUCUAGUGGGUACUCUCUUUCCCUUGAGGACUCCCAUCAGCCUUGCCCAGACUAUCUUAUAACUGCAUUACAGUCUAAGGCUCAUUCUAUUCCAGUUUCCUUCCUUCCUUCCUUCCUUCCUUCCUUCCUUCCUUCCUUCCUUCCUUCCUUCCUUCCUUCCUUCCCUCCUUCCUUCCCUUUCUCCUCCACAAGAGUCAACUCUGCCCCUCCACGUGAUGACUUUCCUGGACUUUUUCAACACUCUUCCAUUAGCCUCUCACAGGUGUUCUCCCUCAAUAAAUCCCUUGUAUAUUUAAUCCCACCUGCAAUGUCACUGGGCUUUUGAAAACCAAGUGAGAAGACAAGUGUCUGUUGAUAGAAACCCUUCAGUAAAUGUUAACAUGUGAAAGCAAUUUGUCCAUUGAAAAGGCUAAAAAGAAAUGACAGCCCAUAAUCGACGGGUACAUUCCAUUGACUGAGACUGUGAUCUUAAAUAUUAUUGCUAUUGGAGAACACCAAGAACCCUGGAGAAUAACUGAAUGCCGUUGUGAGAAAGGAAAUAUAUAUUAAGACCCUGGAAUGUUCCAUUGGGCCUAAAAGUAAGCUAAAAAAGAUGCAUAGUACAUGUUCAAAACACACAGGUGCCAAAAAAGAAGGGGCUCCCAUUGGCCAAAGAUGAGAUAUAUGAAUAUUAAAAAGAAUAAUGAAUGCAACUGGUUGAAACAUACUUGCUGUAUAGAAAGCCAAGAGUUCAAAAUGAUACUUAAGAAAAAGCUCAUUGAACACCACUGGAAGGAACAAAAGUAAAAGCAACUUGUCUCAAAAGCCAGGAACUAAAAGUAAAGAAUUAGACAUUUAUUCCAUCUUUUCAUAUGACCUAUAUUUCAGAGUUAUCACAAAGCCUGAUAAGAGUUAUCUUAUCUAGAUGAUGAGAUAAAGCGUCCAUUAUUAGAGAAGAGCUCCAGCUAAAGCUGUGAAGGCAAUCAUGAAAUGAAGACUCACCAUUUUGCAGCAGUUCAUGAUCACCAAUAGAUGAAGCACUAGGUGAAAGGUUGAUGGGAAGCUUUAUAGCGGGGGAGGAGAGGAGAUCAGACUGCCACCUUCUGAAUUCAUUGAUCGGUCAUGCAUCACUAACCACGGGAUGUCUAGAGAUUGUAUACCUCCUGGUGUGAUAUGAUAUGAAGCUCACAGCACUACUGAUGAAGGAUUCCUGCAAAAAAAAAUAAUUGAACCUAAAUCUAAUAAAACGUGCAGGGUUAACUACCAUUUACGGGAAACACAAAGAAGAUGGAGAAACAAGCAAACACCAUAAGGAAACAAUUACAGAACAUGGAACAUUUUAUAUGCGGUUAACAGUUUCUGCAACAUGUCAAUGACUGGCACACGAAAAACUAAGAAAGAAAACCUCUAGAUUAAAAGAGAAUUCAGACAUAACCAUUAAAGGUAAUGAGUGGACCUUGUUUGGAUUCUGAUUUGAAUCAAUGAAAUGUAAUUGACAUUUUUGAGACACCUGGGAACAUUUUUUAUGGACUGGGUAUUACAGGAAACAAAGGAAUGACUGUUAACUUUAUUACAUGUGAUAAUGGCAUCUUGGUUACAUAAGUAAUGUUUUUAGAAAUGCCUUUUGAAUUAUGUACAGUGAAAUGACUUGAUGUCUGGAAUUUGCUUUAAAAUACUUCAAUGAAGAAGAAGAAAAAAGAAAGUAAAAAAGAAAUAACUGAAGCAAAUGUGG
RNAcentral lists this long non-coding RNA (1749 nucleotides) under Homo sapiens (human). Its description in RNAcentral is "HSALNT0134520". Lineage: Eukaryota; Metazoa; Chordata; Mammalia; Primates; Hominidae. The record is from RNAcentral.